RNAcentral lists this ribosomal RNA (465 nucleotides) under Vreelandella stevensii. RNAcentral's name for it is "partial 16S ribosomal RNA". It matches the Rfam family "Bacterial small subunit ribosomal RNA", at positions 338 to 795 of the family's 1533-position model. Lineage: Bacteria; Pseudomonadati; Pseudomonadota; Gammaproteobacteria; Oceanospirillales; Halomonadaceae. The record is from RNAcentral.
CCUACGGGUGGCUGCAGUGGGGAAUAUUGGACAAUGGGGGGAACCCUGAUCCAGCCAUGCCGCGUGUGUGAAGAAGGCCCUCGGGUUGUAAAGCACUUUCAGUGAGGAAGAACGCCUGGUGGUUAAUACCCAUCAGGAAAGACAUCACUCACAGCAGAAGCACCGGCUAACUCCGUGCCAGCAGCCGCGGUAAUACGGAGGGUGCGAGCGUUAAUCGGAAUUACUGGGCGUAAAGCGCGCGUAGGUGGCUUGAUAAGCCGGUUGUGAAAGCCCCGGGCUCAACCUGGGAACGGCAUCCGGAACUGUCAAGCUAGAGUGCAGGAGAGGAAGGUAGAAUUCCCGGUGUAGCGGUGAAAUGCGUAGAGAUCGGGAGGAAUACCAGUGGCGAAGGCGGCCUUCUGGACUGACACUGACACUGAGGUGCGAAAGCGUGGGUAGCAAACAGGAUUAGAUACCCUUGUAGUC